AAAUUGAAGAGUUUGAUCAUGGCUCAGAUUGAACGCUGGCGGCAGGCCUAACACAUGCAAGUCGAGCGGUAGCACAGAGAGCUUGCUCUCGGGUGACGAGCGGCGGACGGGUGAGUAAUGUCUGGGAAACUGCCUGAUGGAGGGGGAUAACUACUGGAAACGGUAGCUAAUACCGCAUAACGUCGCAAGACCAAAGUGGGGGACCUUCGGGCCUCAUGCCAUCAGAUGUGCCCAGAUGGGAUUAGCUAGUAGGUGGGGUAACGGCUCACCUAGGCGACGAUCCCUAGCUGGUCUGAGAGGAUGACCAGCCACACUGGAACUGAGACACGGUCCAGACUCCUACGGGAGGCAGCAGUGGGGAAUAUUGCACAAUGGGCGCAAGCCUGAUGCAGCCAUGCCGCGUGUGUGAAGAAGGCCUUCGGGUUGUAAAGCACUUUCAGCGGGGAGGAAGGCAAUAAGGUUAAUAACCUUGUUGAUUGACGUUACCCGCAGAAGAAGCACCGGCUAACUCCGUGCCAGCAGCCGCGGUAAUACGGAGGGUGCAAGCGUUAAUCGGAAUUACUGGGCGUAAAGCGCACGCAGGCGGUCUGUCAAGUCGGAUGUGAAAUCCCCGGGCUCAACCUGGGAACUGCAUUCGAAACUGGCAGGCUAGAGUCUUGUAGAGGGGGGUAGAAUUCCAGGUGUAGCGGUGAAAUGCGUAGAGAUCUGGAGGAAUACCGGUGGCGAAGGCGGCCCCCUGGACAAAGACUGACGCUCAGGUGCGAAAGCGUGGGGAGCAAACAGGAUUAGAUACCCUGGUAGUCCACGCCGUAAACGAUGUCGAUUUGGAGGUUGUGCCCUUGAGGCGUGGCUUCCGGAGCUAACGCGUUAAAUCGACCGCCUGGGGAGUACGGCCGCAAGGUUAAAACUCAAAUGAAUUGACGGGGGCCCGCACAAGCGGUGGAGCAUGUGGUUUAAUUCGAUGCAACGCGAAGAACCUUACCUGGUCUUGACAUCCACAGAACUUAGCAGAGAUGCUUUGGUGCCUUCGGGAACUGUGAGACAGGUGCUGCAUGGCUGUCGUCAGCUCGUGUUGUGAAAUGUUGGGUUAAGUCCCGCAACGAGCGCAACCCUUAUCCUUUGUUGCCAGCGGUCCGGCCGGGAACUCAAAGGAGACUGCCAGUGAUAAACUGGAGGAAGGUGGGGAUGACGUCAAGUCAUCAUGGCCCUUACGACCAGGGCUACACACGUGCUACAAUGGCAUAUACAAAGAGAAGCGACCUCGCGAGAGCAAGCGGACCUCAUAAAGUAUGUCGUAGUCCGGAUUGGAGUCUGCAACUCGACUCCAUGAAGUCGGAAUCGCUAGUAAUCGUAGAUCAGAAUGCUACGGUGAAUACGUUCCCGGGCCUUGUACACACCGCCCGUCACACCAUGGGAGUGGGUUGCAAAAGAAGUAGGUAGCUUAACCUUCGGGAGGGCGCUUACCACUUUGUGAUUCAUGACUGGGGUGAAGUCGUAACAAGGUAACCGUAGGGGAACCUGCGGUUGGAUCACCUCCUUACCUUAAAGAA
Molecule: ribosomal RNA, 1550 nt
Filed under: Klebsiella africana
Lineage: Bacteria; Pseudomonadati; Pseudomonadota; Gammaproteobacteria; Enterobacterales; Enterobacteriaceae
Description: bacterial SSU rRNA
Rfam family: Bacterial small subunit ribosomal RNA
Source: RNAcentral